This 815-nucleotide long non-coding RNA is filed under the name Homo sapiens (human). Its description in RNAcentral is "HSALNT0366177". The record is from RNAcentral. Lineage: Eukaryota; Metazoa; Chordata; Mammalia; Primates; Hominidae.
CUUUCAGGCACUGCCAGCAGUGAUGAGCGGGGUGAGGGUGGCUGGCGCGGCCCAGUGCUAUUCUGCCACAGCCAACGGCUGCAUUUCCUGAGCAAACGCUAGAAGCAAGUACAGUCCUAGGUGCUGGGGAUACAGUGGGGCAGAAUGCAGAGGUCUUCAAUCUCCUGUGGCCUCCCUUCUAGCAGGGGACUUCCAAGAAACAAGCAACAAAAAAGAGACAAUGUCACUGCAGCCUUGAACACCUGGGCUCAAGGGAUCCUUCCACUUCGGCUUCCCAAGUAGCUGGGACUACAGGUACGCGCCACCACACCCAGCUAAUUUUUUUAUUUUUUGUAGAUGUGGGGUCUCGUUAUGUUGUCCAGGCUGGUCUUGAAUUCCUGGCCUCCAGUGACUCUCCUGCCUCAGCCUCCCAAAGAGUGGGGAUCACAGGCAUGAGCCACCGUGCCUGGCUGGCUUUGACUUUUUUUCUUUCUUUUUUUUUUUUUUUUUUUGAGACGGAGUCUUGCACUGUCGCCCAGGCUGGAGUGCAGUGGCGCCAUCUCGGCUCACUGCAAGCUCUGCCUCCUGGGUUCACGCCAUUCUCCUGCCUCAGCCUCCCGAGUAGCUGGGACUACAGGCGCCCGCCACCACACCCGGCUAAUUUUUUUGUACUUUUAGUAGAGAUGGGGUUUCACCGUGUUAGCCAGGAUGGUUUCGAUCUCCUGACCUCGUGAUCCGCCCGCCUUGGCCUCCCAAAAGUGCUGGGAUUACAGGUGUGAGCCACCGCACCCGGCCCAGCUUUGACUUUUUAUGCUGCGUCCUUUUUCCUUUUAACA